GGUGGGUUUGUAAGUCAGAUGUGAAAGCCUUCUGUUCAACGGAAGAAUUGCAUCUGAAACUGCAAAUCUUGAGUAUAGGAGGGGAGAAUGGAACUUCUGGUGGAGCGGUGAAAUGCGUAGAUAUCAGAAGGAACGCCGGCGGCAAAAGCGAUUCUCUGGCCUAUUACUGACACUGAGUGUGCGAAAGCUAGGGGAGCAAACGGGAUUAGAUACCCCGGUAGUCCUAGCCGUAAACGAUGGGCACUAAGUAGAGGGGUUU
RNAcentral lists this ribosomal RNA (259 nucleotides) under uncultured Planctomycetota bacterium. RNAcentral's name for it is "uncultured planctomycete partial 16S ribosomal RNA". It matches the Rfam family "Bacterial small subunit ribosomal RNA", at positions 574 to 831 of the family's 1533-position model. The record is from RNAcentral. Lineage: Bacteria; Pseudomonadati; Planctomycetota.